This is a non-coding RNA of Acanthosepion pharaonis, 99 nucleotides long. NCBI's taxonomy places the organism in Eukaryota, Metazoa, Mollusca, Cephalopoda, Sepiida, Sepiidae. The record is from the annotation of a GenBank genome assembly.
CGUUGAAACAUUGGUUGCCGUGCGAUCACCGAAAUUAGGCAACGUCGAGCCUGGUCAGUACUAAGAUGGGUAACCGCAUGGUAAAGCCAGGUGCUGUAA